UAGGGAAUCUUCGGCAAUGGGGGCAACCCUGACCGAGCAACGCCGCGUGAGUGAAGAAGGUUUUCGGAUCGUAAAGCUCUGUUGUAAGAGAAGAACGUGUGUGAGAGUGGAAAGUUCACACAGUGACGGUAACUUACCAGAAAGGGACGGCUAACUACGUGCCAGCAGCCGCGGUAAUACGUAGGUUCCGAGCGUUGUCCGGAUUUAUUGGGCGUAAAGCGAGCGCAGGCGGUUUAAUAAGUCUGAAGUUAAAGGCAGUGGCUUAACCAUUGUUCGCUUUGGAAACUGUUAAACUUGAGUGCAGAAGGGGAGAGUGGAAUUCCAUGUGUAGCGGUGAAAUGCGUAGAUAUAUGGAGGAACACCGGUGGCGAAAGCGGCUCUCUGGUCUGUAACUGACGCUGAGGCUCGAAAGCGUGGGGAGCAAACAGG
RNAcentral lists this ribosomal RNA (429 nucleotides) under bacterium. Its description in RNAcentral is "partial 16S ribosomal RNA". It matches the Rfam family "Bacterial small subunit ribosomal RNA", at positions 355 to 776 of the family's 1533-position model. The record is from RNAcentral.